This 256-nucleotide long non-coding RNA is filed under the name Mus musculus (house mouse). RNAcentral describes it as "long non-coding RNA chr2:11352513-11352769". The record is from RNAcentral. Lineage: Eukaryota; Metazoa; Chordata; Mammalia; Rodentia; Muridae.
AUUCAACAGUCUUGGGAAGUGCUUAAUGAGGAGGGAAACAUUGUGUGGGCAACCACUGCAGUCCAUCCCCUCUGGACUUGGUGGCCUAAUCUCACACCUGACAUCUGUAAGUUAGUGGCAGGAUCCCCCAAAUGGGACCUCCCCGAUCAUACCGAUCUUAGUAACCCACCCCCUGAAGAGCGGUGUGUCCCAAACGGGAUAGGGAGCACAUAUGGGUGUUCGGGGCAGUUUUACCGAGCUAAUCUUAGAGCUGCAC